AUUGAACGCUGGCGGCAGGACUAACACAUGCAAGUCGAGCGAGCGGCGGACGGGUGAGUAAUGUAUGGGGACUGCCCGAUAGAGGGGGAUAACUACUGGAAACGGUAGCUAAUACCGCAUACUAUCGGAUAACCCAUAUGGGAUUAGCUAGUAGGGUGGGCAAUGGCUCACCGAGGCGACGAGCCCUAGCUGGUCUGAGCGGAUGAUCAGCCACACUGGGACAGUGACACGGCCCAGCCGCCUACGUAGGCGGCAGUGGGGAAUAUUGUACAAUGGGCGCAAGCCUGAUGCAGCCAUGCCGCUUGUAUGAAGAAGGCCCUAGGGUUGUAAAGUACUUUCAGUCGGGAGGCGUUACCGACAGAAGAAGCACCGGCUAACUCCGUGCCAGCCGCCGCGGUAAUUC
RNAcentral lists this ribosomal RNA (403 nucleotides) under uncultured bacterium. Its description in RNAcentral is "partial 16S ribosomal RNA". It matches the Rfam family "Bacterial small subunit ribosomal RNA", at positions 30 to 526 of the family's 1533-position model. The record is from RNAcentral.